UACGUAGGGUCCGAGCGUUGUCCGGAAUUAUUGGGCGUAAAGAGCUCGUAGGCGGUGUGUCACGUCGGCCGUGAAAACCUGCAGCUUAACUGUGGGCGUGCGGUCGAUACGGGCAUCACUGGAGUUCGGCAGGGGAGACUGGAAUUCCUGGUGUAGCGGUGAAAUGCGCAGAUAUCAGGAGGAACACCGGUGGCGAAGGCGGGUCUCUGGGCCGAUACUGACGCUGAGGAGCGAAAGUGUGGGGAGCAAACAGG
RNAcentral lists this ribosomal RNA (254 nucleotides) under uncultured bacterium. RNAcentral's name for it is "partial 16S ribosomal RNA". It matches the Rfam family "Bacterial small subunit ribosomal RNA", at positions 524 to 776 of the family's 1533-position model. The record is from RNAcentral.